GGACACACCCGUACCCAUUUCGAACACGGUCGUUAAGCCCUUCUGCGCCGAUGGUACUGCACUGGAGACGGUGUGGGAGAGUAGGGCAUCGCCGGGA
This 97-nucleotide ribosomal RNA is filed under the name Gemmatimonadota bacterium. Lineage: Bacteria; Pseudomonadati; Gemmatimonadota. The record is from RNAcentral.